AAUGGGAUAGAAGAUGCUGACUGGUAUCUUCCAACUCCAGCUUCUCAGAAGUCACCCUGGCGGGUUUAGCCAGUAAAGAAAACUUCAGCAACGUCAGCCUGCGGAGCGUCAACCUGACGGAACAGAACUCUAACAACAGCGCCGUGCCCUUCAAGAGGCUGAUGCUGUUGCAGAUUAAAGGAAGAAGACACGUGCAGACCAGGCUGGUGGAACCUCGAGCUUCGGCGCUCAAUAGUGGGGACUGCUUCCUCCUGCUCUCUCCCCACUGCUGCUUCCUGUGGGUAGGAGAGUUCGCAAACGCCAUAGAAAAGGCGAAGGCCUCAGAACUUGCAGCUUGAUUGUAGAGCUACUUAUAUCUAAAUCAUUGAAGAAGGAAUUAAUAUACACACUCUUGCAGCCAAAGACUUCUGCAAGCUUCUGGGUGGCCAAACCAGUUACCAAUGUCAGACUUCAUUGUACUUCAGAGACUGACAAGACUUGAAUCUCCUUUCUUCUCCCUUAGCUCAUUCUUCUAAACCAGCUACUUUGCAAUGUAAAAUGUGAUGCUCUCCUGUUGUUCUUAUCCCCAAGCUGCUGGAGACCCAAAAGAAGAUGAACUCUAUGAAGCAGCCAUAAUAGAAACUAACUGCAUUUACUGUCUCAUGGAUGACAAACUUGUUCCUGAUGACGACUACUGGGGGAAAAUUCCAAAGUGCUCUCUUCUGCAACCCAAAGAGGUACUGGUGUUUGAUUUUGGUAGUGAAGUUUACGUAUGGCAUGGGAAAGAAGUCACGUUAGCACAACGAAAAAUAGAAUUUCAGCUGGCAAAGCACUUAUGGAAUGGAACCUUUGACUAUGAGAACUGUGACAUUAAUCCCCUGGAUCCUGGAGAAUGCAAUCCGCUUAUCCGCAGAAAAGGACAGGGGCGGCCCGACUGGGCGAUAUUUGGGAGACUUACUGAACACAAUGAGACGAUUUUGUUCAAAGAAAAGUUUCUGGAUUGGACAGAACUGAAAAGACCAAAUGAGAAGAACCCCGGGGAACUUGCCCAGCACAAGGAAGACUCCAGGGCCGAUGUCAAGCGGAACAACGUGACACGGAUGGUGUCCGUGCCCCAGACGACAGCAGGUGCCAUCCUGGACAGGGUGAACAUUGGCUGUGGCUGUGGCCUGGUGGAAGGACACCACAGGAGGCAGUUUGAGAUCACCAGUGUCUCCGUGGAUGUCUGGUACAUCCUGGAAUUUGACUAUAGCAGGCUCCCCAAACAAAGCAUCGGGCAGUUCCACGAGGGGGAUGCCUAUGUGGUCAAGUGGAAGUUCAUGGUGAGCACGGCAGAUCCCGGAAGUUUUAACUUCGCGCCCCGCCUGUUCGUCCUCAGCAGCUCCUCUGGGGAUUUCGCAGCCACGGAGUUCGUGUACCCUGCCCGAGCCCCCUCUGUGGUCAGUUCCAUGCCCUUCCUGCAGGAAGAUCUAUACAGCGUGCCCCAGCCAGGAAAAAAAUCUCAAGAAGCCAGUCCCCAAGUCUUACCUUAUCCAUGCUGGUCUGGAGCCCCUAACAUUCACCAAUAUGUUUCCUAGCUGGGAGCACAGAGACGACACUGCUGAGAUCACAGAGAUGGACAUGGAAGUUUCCAAUCAGAUCACCCUCGUGGAAGACGUCUUAGCCAAGCUCUGUAAAACCAUUUACCUGCUGGCCAACCUCCUG
RNA transcript from Homo sapiens (human), 1683 nucleotides. It is a transcript of the gene named supervillin family member 2, pseudogene, with no coding region annotated. NCBI's taxonomy places the organism in Eukaryota, Metazoa, Chordata, Mammalia, Primates, Hominidae. The record is from RefSeq and is marked validated. The transcript has 10 exons.